RNAcentral lists this long non-coding RNA (3691 nucleotides) under Nicotiana tabacum (common tobacco). RNAcentral describes it as "long non-coding RNA (NTAB_LNC009777)". Lineage: Eukaryota; Viridiplantae; Streptophyta; Magnoliopsida; Solanales; Solanaceae. The record is from RNAcentral.
UGAAAUGUAAAUAAGACAUGAUAAAGUAAAUAGUAUGAUGGAGACUCUGUGGGCUGUGAUACGUAACAUGAAAUGCAUCUCACCAUAAAGUAUCCUCAGCAACAGCACAUACGCACUAAGAUAACCACCGAUUAAACCUGCCAAAUCCUGCCCAUUUAGUGCAAAAGUAUAGUGACGACCCGACAGGUUGUUUAGAGCUCCAGCGCGUCGUUCAGCAGUUUGAGGCCUUGAGCAACUUCACUUCAAGUAUUAUGGCUUGUACGUGUGGUCGGAAUUGAAUUCCAGGAAGUUCAAAGCUAAUCCGGGAAGAAAAAUCUAAUUUUGGAAGCUUUAAGUUGGAAAAAUUGAUUAAAGUUUGACUUUUGAGUAAACAACCUCGGAAUCAGGAUUUGAAAGUUCCAAUAGGUAUGUAUGAUAAUUUCGGACUUGGGUGUCUGUUCGGGUUGAGUAUUGAAUCGCCCGGGAGCACUUUGGCGCUUAUUAUGGAAAGUUGGCAUUUUUAAGGUUUAAGAAUUUCUUAAGUUCGGUUUGAGGUGGACCACGGUGCUAUCGAUGUCCGUUUGGGAUUUCGAGCCUUGAAUAGGUUUGUAUUGUGAUUUAUGAUUUGUGCGAAAAAUUUAGCGUCAAUUCGGAAUGUUUUGAUAUGAUUUGGAUGCGUUCGUCGAAGUUUGAAAGUUUAAAAAGUUAAAAGAAGGAUUUCGAUCGACGAAUUGUAGUUUCAAUGUUAUUUGGCAUGAUUUGAGGCGUCGACUAUGUUCGUAAUGUGUUUUGGGACGCGUUGGUAUAAUUGGUUAAGAUCCCGAAGGCCUCAGGUGGAUUUUGGAUAAUAAACAGAUCAAGUUUGGGCUUAAGGGAAUGCUGAAGCCACUACAAAAAAAGGCUCAUUUUAUGGUGAUUUGUAUUGCUGUCACUUAAUGAUACUCUUACACCUAUGGGUGAACACACUCGAUCUCCACAUCACUAUGCUGAAACAAUGAAACAAAAGUAGAUGAAAAACUUAUAAACAACUAGCAUUUUGACAGGCUAAAAGGACAAAUCUAGUUACAUAAAUAAAAGAAAGCUAAAAAUCUUCUUACAAAUAAAUCUGUCACUUGGUCUAAUAGCAUUGAACAAAAGUUACUGGAUAUUCUCACAUGAAUAAGAACUAAAGUACAAAGUUAUUUCCUCGUAUAUCAUCAUAAAACUUACCUCCAAAACAUUUCUACUUGGCAGCAUAAAAUCUAGCCAUAUAUUUAUGAAAAAAAUCACCUACAUAACUAUUAAAGUAUAAGUCAGCCUCUAUAAGCUUUCUAGCAUUAAACAAAUAAAGUAUGAGUUGUAAUCCAGCCCAAUGAUCCGCAGAAGUUAAACUUGCACCAGCUAAAAGCUAAUAACAACACUGGAAACUGAAGUAGAGGAAAUGAACUAUAAAAUAUAAACUAAUAAUUAGUUAAAUAAACCAAGCCAGCGCCCAUAAUCUUCUGGAGCUAAUUUCAAGCAAAAGAAGCAACAAGAAAAUGCCAAAACUUGAACCGAAAAAAUAAAAUUUAUAUACUAUCAGCUUACUUCAUCUCAUUUCUUAGGUAGUUAUUCAAAAUUUUUAAGGCAUAAAUUCUAGUAGUAUCAUAUCAAGUAAGAACUGCAAGAGAAUCACCUCUUACAAUAAGAAUGCCAAGGACCCUUAUUAUUUAUGUAUAUUAUUGUACUGAUAUUUCUAUAAACAAUAGUCCUAGGAAUAAGAAAAUACAUAACCAAUCAAUUUAAAACUAAAAGCAUCAAUUUAUGUAAACUGUGAGUUUAAAGUUGUAUCUCAAGUUUAUACCUACUUGAGCAAUAUAGCAGUUGUCAUUGAGCCAACCAUGUUUAUUGUUCUCAAUGCUACCACUUCUUUGCUUCAAUCCAACUGAUAUUCAAAGCUGCAAAUGUUCUUCAAUUGGUGUAGCUUCCAUUAAGAAGCAUGUUAUAUAAAUAUUAAGUUUCUCCGGAAAAAAUGCCUAGCCAAGAAACGAGGUAAGAAGCAUAACUUACUCCUCAAUGCUAUAAAAACAGCCCAUCAAUACUAAAACCUUUGCACUGGUAGAGGAUGUAUCCCUCGAUGGAUUUACAUCACCUUGACAUUAUAAUUAAAUUGAAUGUAAGGUACAAACGAAGAAAAUUGUUAACCGAUAAAAUAAGAAUCAUUUUAGUUGCUUGUAAUUAAAUACAUGCUUUCUUAUUAUUAAAUUCAACUAUAUAAAGCAAAACUGAAGAGCAGGGCAUACAACAUCAAAAACCUAGAACUAGCAAAAGUUGCAAAAAAAAAAAAAAAAAGAAGUUCCAUUUUUUACCUUGUGCAAAUGAAAAGUACUAAACUAGAACUCACAGGGUAAAAUACUAUAAACAUAUCCAUUACAUGAAUUGAUACAGAAUCACCAUGCUUCUUUGAGCCAAACAGGUCAUGUGUGAUAUGACAAAGUUACUUCUUAAUAUGAUCUGUAGCACUUACUCUGACUAGUCAUCGAAUAACUUUUAUAAUGACAAGACAUGUUUAGAUACGUUACAUAAGGCUCCAAAAAGACAAAGGCAGAACUGCUAGCCAAAGUUUAAUGUAAUACUUUACUUAAUGUAAGACGAUGAUAACUCGCCAAGCUUGUUUUCUGAAAUAAAAGAUAGUUGUGCACAAGGAUAGAAAGAAGUUGGUCUGUUACAGGAUAAGAGUGACAAGAGAUAUGUGUUGUAAUUUAUAAGAAAUUGUCGCCAUUAUCGGUCCAGUAAUCUUUGUUAAUAUUGGUCCAGCAAUCAAUUCAUAGUUAAAGUUGCUCAAAAGUACUAUUAAAACAACUUCUGAUAAACAAACUUCAAAUACAUUUGUAGAAGUAAACAAACCACAAGGGGUGCUUUACCAUGGCGAUUAGCUCAAAUCCUGGAUGAUCGGUUCAUUGCGUUAGAAUGCCAUUUGGUUCAGUGGGUAAAUGUCUACAACAAUCACCUAAAGUUCAUGUAAUUGUACUCAUAUUUCCAACCGUCCCUGAUGUACAAGGAUGCAGUAGUUGCAUACAUACAACAGAACUCAUUUGAUGUCCUUUCUAAUUAAAGACCAAAAUAUUCUCAAAAUUUACAAAACAAUUACUUAGAAUCUUCUUGCAGUGUAUAAAAUUAGCCAUCCAAAGAAUAUAAUCAUCAAACCCCAUAAAAGGGGAAAAAUAACAAGACAGACAAAAUAGAAAGAGUGCAUUGCGUUGUACCCGACAUCCUAAGCACACAAUCCAUCCAAUUACGUACAGACAACCCCCAUCAACCAUAAAAGACAAGAGAUCUGUCGAACACCACCUACUACAAAUAGACAACCUCUAACUAUAGACUCUUUUUCUCAAAAGCACAUUCAUUUCCCCGCAGAAAUGACUCUUAAAAGGGUAAGAUUUUCAAUUGGACCUCGAAAUAAAGGAAUAUAUAAAACAAUUGAAACAAUAUAUAACUCAAAUACUUGUAACUAUAUAGAUCCAAAAGCAUAUCGAAAACAAUUCUGGUUAGGAACCCUAUAUCGGAAAGUAAAAGACAAUAUAGAGCAUAUAGAAGUAAGAAAGAGGAUGAAAAAGUACCAACCGUUGUUCUUCGGAUUGCGCUCUACCAGCUCCGUAGAGAAGGUGAAGAGAGGAUCAAGCCCUGCUAAAAGAUUUGUGAGAGAGGGAACUAACUGUACAAUUUGAAACAAGGGGAAAAAGAGAGGGAAUUU